RNAcentral lists this ribosomal RNA (433 nucleotides) under uncultured bacterium. RNAcentral describes it as "partial 16S ribosomal RNA". It matches the Rfam family "Bacterial small subunit ribosomal RNA", at positions 29 to 507 of the family's 1533-position model. The record is from RNAcentral.
AACGAACGCUGGCGGCAUGCCUAACACAUGCAAGUCGAACGAGACCUUCGGGUCUAGUGGCGCACGGGUGCGUAACGCGUGGGAACCUGCCCUUAGGUUCGGAAUAACUCCCCGAAAGGGGUGCUAAUACCGGAUAAUGUCUUCGGACCAAAGAUUUAUCGCCUUUGGAUGGGCCCGCGUUGGAUUAGCUAGUUGGUAGGGUAAAAGCCUACCAAGGCGACGAUCCAUAGCUGGUCUGAGAGGAUGAUCAGCCACACUGGGACUGAGAAACGGCCCAGACUCCUACGGGAGGCAGCAGUGGGGAAUAUUGGACAAUGGGCGGAAGCCUGAUGCAGCAAUGCCGCGUGAGUGAUGAAGGCCUUAGGGUUGUAAAGCGCUUUUAACCGGGAUGAUAAUGACAGUACCGGGAGAAUAAGCCCCGGCUAACUCCGUG